CACAAGCGGUGGAGCAUGUGGUUAAUUCGAAGCAACGCGAAGAACCUUACCAGGGCUUGACAUCCCCUGACCGCGUAUGAAAGUACGUUUUCACCCUCGGGUGACAGGGAGACAGGUGGUGCAUGGUUGUCGUCAGCUCGUGUCGUGAGAUGUUGGGUUAAGUCCCGCAACGAGCGCAACCCCUACGUUUAGUUGCUAACGCGUGAAGGCGAGCACUCUAGACGAACUGCCGUUGACAAAACGGAGGAAGGUGGGAUGACGUCAAAUCAUCAUGCCCCUUAUGUUCUGGGCUACACACGUGCUACAAUGGCCGGUACAGACGGACGCAAAGCCGCGAGGUGGAGCAAAUCCUAAAAAGCCGGUCUCAGUUCGGAUUGCAGGCUGCAAUUCGCCUGCAUGAAGUCGGAAUCGCUAGUAAUCGCAGGUCAGCAUACUGCGGUGAAUACGUUCCCGGGCCUU
Molecule: ribosomal RNA, 459 nt
Filed under: uncultured Pelotomaculum sp.
Lineage: Bacteria; Bacillati; Bacillota; Clostridia; Eubacteriales; Desulfotomaculaceae
Description: bacterial SSU rRNA
Rfam family: Bacterial small subunit ribosomal RNA
Source: RNAcentral